This 552-nucleotide ribosomal RNA is filed under the name uncultured bacterium. RNAcentral describes it as "bacterial SSU rRNA". It matches the Rfam family "Bacterial small subunit ribosomal RNA", at positions 355 to 896 of the family's 1533-position model. The record is from RNAcentral.
UAGGGAAUCUUCGGCAAUGGGGACAACCCUGACCGAGCAACGCCGCGUGAGUGAAGAAGGUUUUCGGAUCGUAAAGCUCUGUUGUAAGUCAAGAACGAGUGUGAGAGUGGAAAGUUCACACUGUGACGGUAGCUUACCAGAAAGGGACGGCUAACUACGUGCCAGCAGCCGCGGUAAUACGUAGGUCCCGAGCGUUGUCCGGAUUUAUUGGGCGUAAAGCGAGCGCAGGCGGUUUGAUAAGUCUGAAGUUAAAGGCUGUGGCUCAACCAUAGUUCGCUUUGGAAACUGUCAAACUUGAGUGCAGAAGGGGAGAGUGGAAUUCCAUGUGUAGCGGUGAAAUGCGUAGAUAUAUGGAGGAACACCGGUGGCGAAAGCGGCUCUCUGGUCUGUAACUGACGCUGAGGCUCGAAAGCGUGGGGAGCGAACAGGAUUAGAUACCCUGGUUAGUCCACGCCGUAAACGAUGAGUGCUAGGUGUUGGAUCCUUUCCGGGAUUCAGUGCCGCAGCUAACGCAUUUAAGCACUCCGCCUGGGGAGUACGACCGCAAGGUUG